Molecule: ribosomal RNA, 1091 nt
Filed under: Zymobacter sp.
Lineage: Bacteria; Pseudomonadati; Pseudomonadota; Gammaproteobacteria; Oceanospirillales; Halomonadaceae
Description: bacterial SSU rRNA
Rfam family: Bacterial small subunit ribosomal RNA
Source: RNAcentral
CAAGAGGCCAAGGACUUCGACAUGCAGUCGAGCGGCAGCACGGGAAGCUUGCUUCCUGGUGGCGAGCGGCGGACGGGUGAGUAAUGCAUGGGAAUCUGCCCGAUAGUGGGGGAUAACGUGUGGAAACGCACGCUAAUACCGCAUACGUCCUACGGGAGAAAGGAGGGGAUCUUCGGACCUUUCGCUAUCGGAUGAGCCCAUGUUGGAUUAGCUUGUUGGUGAGGUAAUGGCUCACCAAGGCGACGAUCCAUAGCUGGUCUGAGAGGAUGAUCAGCCACACUGGGACUGAGACACGGCCCAGACUCCUACGGGAGGCAGCAGUGGGGAAUAUUGGACAAUGGGCGAAAGCCUGAUCCAGCCAUGCCGCGUGUGUGAAGAAGGCCUUCGGGUUGUAAAGCACUUUCAGUAGGGAAGAAAGCCUUCGACCUAAUACGUCUUAGGAAGGACAUCACCUACAGAAGAAGCACCGGCUAACUCCGUGCCAGCAGCCGCGGUAAUACGGAGGGUGCGAGCGUUAAUCGGAAUUACUGGGCGUAAAGGGCGCGUAGGCGGUCCGUUAAGCCAGAUGUGAAAGCCCCGGGCUCAACCUGGGAAUUGCAUUUGGAACUGGCGGACUUGAGUGCAGGAGAGGAAGGUAGAAUUCCAGGUGUAGCGGUGAAAUGCGUAGAGAUCUGGAGGAAUACCAGUGGCGAAGGCGGCCUUCUGGACUGACACUGACGCUGAGGCGCGAAAGCGUGGGUAGCAAACAGGAUUAGAUACCCUGGUAGUCCACGCCGUAAACGAUGUCAACUAGCCGUUGGAUCCCUUGAGGAUUUAGUGGCGCAGCUAACGCACUAAGUUGACCGCCUGGGGAGUACGGUCGCAAGACUAAAACUCAAAUGAAUUGACGGGGGCCCGCACAAGCGGUGGAGCAUGUGGUUUAAUUCGAUGCAACGCGAAGAACCUUACCUACUCUUGACAUCCAGAGAACUUUCCAGAGAUGGAUCGGUGCCUUCGGGAACUCUGAGACAGGUGCUGCAUGGCUGUCGUCAGCUCGUGUUGUGAAAUGUUGGGUUAAGUCCCGUAACGAGCGCACCCCCUAUCCUUAUUGU